This is an RNA transcript of Magnolia sinica, 3712 nucleotides long. RefSeq lists it as uncharacterized. The record is from RefSeq and is a predicted model, not a curated record. Lineage: Eukaryota; Viridiplantae; Streptophyta; Magnoliopsida; Magnoliales; Magnoliaceae. The transcript has 5 exons.
UAUAAAACUUAAAAUUCAAGGGUUUGCCCACACAUUGUUCGAUAAAAUGCCUACGAUUUCUAACAGCAUGUUACGAUGAUAUGCGGUUUCUUGCUGGUCAUAUUCCAUAUAUAUGUGGCUGUCUAAGCUGUGCACCGCACGCAGGUUAACCAUGAUGUGCUCCUUCACAGGACAAGCACCACACAUACAUUGAGGGAUUUGUCCAAUACACAGCAAAAAAGACACCCACCUGAGUGCAAGUGAUAUUCAGGCGCUGAUGCAGUAUUUUGCUGCAAAAAAUGCAGAAUUUCUGUCAAAGUCAACGUUUGAUGAGGAAGCUCUCUUUACAACAUUGCUUUUGGAUCGACAGUGGGUCCUGCCAUUUAGUCUCCAUUGUCAAUAAUUUGAUUGUUUUCUGUAUGAAAUACCAGCUGAACCAUUAUGGAUUGUUGUUCGCUCAAGUAAACCAGCAGGGGCAGACAAUCCUUCUGGGUUGUGCAUUCCUAUGUGAUGAAAAUCGAGAAACUUUUGUAUGGUCGUUUGAGUGGUGGAAGUCGGCCAUUGAAAAAGCACUUGACACGAUUCUUACUGAUCAUGAUCAAUGCAUCUCCAAAGUUGUUGCAAUUUCAAUUUCCAAAAACCCAACAUGUUUACUGCAUGUGGCAAAUCACCCGAAAGUUCCCAGUCCGGUUAGGUGCAAGUUGGGCAUGUGAUAUGCCGAUUUUCUACAAAGGUUCUACCAAGUUUACAAUCAAGAAACGAAGUUGGCUUUUGCGGCAGAGUGCUAUUGCCUCUUGAGUGAUUUUGUCCUUGAAGAUAAUGGACGGUUGAAUUGAAGUCGAUAUUUGACUCGUGCGAGCAGUGGGCACCUGCUUCUUUGCUGGAAUGACAACCAUCUAAUAUGGUGAAAUCAUUAACUCUUUCCUCAAUGGGUUCUUCAAUACUUCACUGACCUUGCAGGAAUUCCUGCGUCGAUAUGAGGAUGCGCUGGUGGCAUACAGGCUUGAGGAGGCAGAGGCAUCGACGAAACAGAACCAGUACAUGCCGACCUUUAAGACCUUUUCGCAGGAGCUGUCACAUGUGAUGGAAUAUGGGGUUUAUGUAGAAGUAGUUGGUGGAGGUUUAUAUCUUCUGUCACUAAUUGAAGGGUGGCAGUGCCGCAGUGGUCAGAUUGUGAGAUGGGGUACCAAUGAAGAACAAUCACUUGUAGCUGUCAGGGUUUCGAGUUUAGUGGAAUCUUACAUCAGCAGCAUGGGCUCUGUGCUCAAACAUUUAAACCAUUUUUCCAUCCUUGGCAAAUAUUAUGUGUAGCUGGACAAAGGCUUGGGUUGAAGGCCGGUUGGUUGGUUCAGCCUCGGUCCCCUAUUGCUGGCCCACUCAGUACUGCAGAAUGGCUCUCAUACCUUCCUUAGCAAGCAAGGCUAUCACGAAAGCUAUAUCAGAUGAAGAACUCUUCAUAGUGGCAGGAGAUCGACUUGUGAACCUGCACAAUACAAUCAUGGAACGCAAGAUGAAGUGGACCAAAGGACAUGGAAUCCCUGAAAGUAGGUAGGCCGAAGGAGAUGAGUCGAAGAAUACAAUGGAGACAAAACAAAACAAAAAAGAAAAAAGAAAAAAGGAAAAGAAUGCAAGGGAAGACUAGUGCAGGCAAAUAGUUCAGAUGGCACAAUUACUGAUUUACUGUAGUGAGUUAGCACUGAGAAGAAGAAGAGGAUCUUGGAGAUGAAAAUGAUUUGUAAAUUCUCAUUUGCAAGUAGCAAGGAAGCACAGGAUAAUGGUUGUUGGCAAUCAGUGCCUUGCAUAUGGUCUAUUACUGUUUACUGUUUAGUGUGCUUUGUCUACAACUAUUUGGGUGCCUCUUGUGCAUUCAUCAUACCCCAUCCAGUGGAUGCCUUGCAUCACAAAUGCAUUUUUUUCCGAAUGUGUCUUUUCCAAAUAGAUGAAUGCAAUUGGCGCCUUUCUUUCUUAUAUAUUUGUUUCCUUUUCCCUGUCUUUACAAAUGCAAUCUCUUGAUGCCUUAUUCAGAGCUCUAAGCAAGUUCGCCACUGGUACAUUUUACUAGUUAAUAUGGCAUAAUGCUUUAUUUAAAAGAAGAAGAAGAAGAAGAAGAAGAAGAAAGCGUCAAAGUGAUCUCUAAGCUUAAAAAAAUCAUUACACAUGACCCCUCUCUUCAUAUUAUUUUAAGUCUCUGCAGUUGUUUCUCCAGUGUGUCUAUAUCUGUCUUUCAAUCUUUUCUCCUAAACCCGCCUCAGAUUUUCUAAUGUUUUUUCCUUUUCUGUUUUUCAUUAUGAUUUUUUUUUUUUUUUUUUGGCAGUUGAUUUAUCACUUAUUGGUUUAGUGGGGAGUGGUGCAUGGGUCAUUACUAAGGCUUGCAACCCUUUGUAGCUCAAAAUGAGGAAUUUAUAUGAGUUUGUGUUGCAGAUCUUGAUUUACAUAUAAGAGUUGAAGACAUUGGGUGAAAUUUUAGCCGAUCGAUGACCAUAUCUCAAGCUAGACACAUUGGGCUGCCUCUGAUGAAUCUUGUCAGACUUAAAGCAGUACCCAUUUUACAGCAACUACAUUUGGAGGAAAGGCUGCUUCGGACCUCUUCAGAUAAUUGGUGUAUCAUAAAUGAUGGAACAAGUGCGCCCACCAUAGUCAUGGGGAUAUCUGGGAAGCCUUCUGAACUUAUUGAACUUGAACCUGUGCUAAGAGAUCGGGUUCCUGUUAUCAGAAGGUUUACUGGAGGAGGCACUGUUAUUGUUGAUGAUGGGACCGUUUUUGUCACUUUUAUCUGCAACAAAGAUGCUAUUCCUGGCUUACAAGCAUAUCCCCGACCAAUCAUGUCCUGGACCAGCAAGUUGUAUGGUGAAGUAUUCCAAGGGAUUGGUGAUUUUCACCUCCGUGAGAAUGAUUAUGUAUUUGGCAACUGCAAGUUCGGGGGGAAUGCUCAAUCCAUAACCAAAAACCGAUGGAUUCACCAUACAUCAUUUUUAUGGGAUUAUGAUGUCAGGAAUAUGGCAUACCUGAAACCACCCAUACGUGCUCCUAAGUACCGUUCGGCACGACACCAUGUUGAAUUUCUUCGUCCUAUGAAGGACUAUUUGCCAGCAAAGUCUACUUUCAUCGACAAGACAAUUGCUACUAUUGGAAGCCAUUUCUUAGUGAGACCUGUGUGGUUGGAAGCAAUCGGCACUCCAAAUUCAACAUACCCUCAAUCCACCAGGCUACUCACAAAGCAAGAAUUGGAGGCUUUUGUCAUCUCAGCUUCAUAACCACAGCAUUUUUCAACAAUCUGGAUUAUUAUCAACUGUUGGUCAGCAAUCCAUAGAAAAAAUGAAGUUUGUAAUUUUGGAUCAUAUCAUACUCUGUCUUGGCUUCAAAAUUCACCUGGAACAAACCCGGCAAUAAACCUACCAUCCAUUAAAUACCAAUCGUGCAAAGUGAAGGAAGCACCGCCAUCAGCAUCAUCAUAGCCUUCUCCCAGGUAUUUGGGGUUCUCAAACAGUGAACCAAGGUCAAUUACAUGCAUGCAUGGAUGCAUGCGCGCACGCCAGUGAAGAAAGAGCAAAGGAUGGUGAUAUGGGUCCAUACCUUGUGCAUUGGAACGACUCCUGGAUGGCUCAUAUCCAUCAUUUGACACUGAAUGGCACCGGAUGCAGCCUGCUCAUGUUUUUUUCUUAGUGAAUGAGAAGUCUUGGGAAUAUGUCAAUGUUUCUGAUAUAAUAAUAAAACUGUUUUUUUACGAGUACAA